This 376-nucleotide ribosomal RNA is filed under the name uncultured crenarchaeote. Its description in RNAcentral is "bacterial SSU rRNA". It matches the Rfam family "Archaeal small subunit ribosomal RNA", at positions 504 to 878 of the family's 1478-position model. The record is from RNAcentral. Lineage: Archaea; Thermoproteati; Thermoproteota.
UUGGGUCUAAGCGUCCGUAGCCGGCCGGAAAAGUUCUCCGUUAAAUCCAACGAUCCAAUCGUUGGGCUGCGGGGAAUACUCUUCGGCUUGGGGGCGAGGGAGGUCGGCGGUAGUCUCGGGGUGGGGGCGAAAUCCUAUAAUCCCGAGAGGACCACCAGUGGCGAAGGCGGCCGACUAAAGCGCGCCCGACGGUGAGGGACGAAAGCUGGGGGAGCGAACGGGAUUAGAUACCCCGGUAGUCCCAGCUGUAAACGAUGCAGGCUAGGUGUUGGGACGGCCACGAGCUGUCCCAGUGCCGCAGGGAAGCCAUUAAGCCUGCCACCUGGGGAGUACGGUCGCAAGGCUGAAUUCUCUUGGAGCGUUUGCUCGAGAGACA